RNAcentral lists this ribosomal RNA (254 nucleotides) under uncultured bacterium. RNAcentral describes it as "partial 16S ribosomal RNA". It matches the Rfam family "Bacterial small subunit ribosomal RNA", at positions 524 to 776 of the family's 1533-position model. The record is from RNAcentral.
CACGUAGGGUGCGAGCGUUGUCCGGAAUUAUUGGGCGUAAAGAGCUCGUAGGCGGUGUGUCGCGUCGGUCGUGAAAACUUGGGGCUUAACCCUGAGCUUGCGGUCGAUACGGGCAUCACUGGAGUUCGGCAGGGGAGACUGGAAUUCCUGGUGUAGCGGUGAAAUGCGCAGAUAUCAGGAGGAACACCGGUGGCGAAGGCGGGUCUCUGGGCCGAUACUGACGCUGAGGAGCGAAAGCGUGGGGAGCGAACAGG